This 408-nucleotide ribosomal RNA is filed under the name uncultured bacterium. RNAcentral describes it as "partial 16S ribosomal RNA". It matches the Rfam family "Bacterial small subunit ribosomal RNA", at positions 355 to 774 of the family's 1533-position model. The record is from RNAcentral.
UGGGGAAUAUUGCACAAUGGGCGAAAGCCUGAUGCAGCGACGCCGCGUGAGGGAUGACGGCCUUCGGGUUGUAAACCUCUUUCAGCAGGGAAGAAGCCACAAGUGACGGUACCUGCAGAAGAAGCGCCGGCUAACUACGUGCCAGCAGCCGCGGGAAUACGUAGGGCGCAAGCGUUGUCCGGAAUUAUGGGGCGUAAAGAGCUCGUAGGCGGUUUGUCGCGUCUGCUGUGAAAGCCCGGGGCUUAACCCCGGGUGUGCAGUGGGUACGGGCAGACUAGAGUGCAGUAGGGGAGACUGGAAUUCCUGGUGUAGCGGUGGAAUGCGCAGAUAUCAGGAGGAACACCGAUGGCGAAGGCAGGUCUCUGGGCUGUUACUGACGCUGAGGAGCGAAAGCAUGGGGAGCGAACA